This 1580-nucleotide long non-coding RNA is filed under the name Triticum aestivum (bread wheat). Its description in RNAcentral is "long non-coding RNA (TAES_LNC011543)". The record is from RNAcentral. Lineage: Eukaryota; Viridiplantae; Streptophyta; Magnoliopsida; Poales; Poaceae.
UUUUUUAAGAUGGAACUAAUCUGAGUUCUUGUGCAACUAGAGAAGAUGAGGAUGUCAACUAGUUAUUGUUGUGCAAUUAGAAUUACCGAGGUUGCCAACUAAUUAGAUAUUAUUCUGCAACUAGAAAGCCAGAGGAUGCCAAGUCGUUACAUACUCUUGGGACAAUUCUAAAAAACUUGAAGAUGGCAACGUUGAGCAACUGAGAAAGUAGAGCAUGCCAAUGCUUAAUUAGUCCUUCUGCAACCAUGUAUGAAAAUUCAUACACUUGGCUGCCUGUAUGUGGAGUAAAAAGUAUUCAUGAUAGAACUUUAUGUUACCACAGCGGCUGCUGCAGAAGAUGUGGCAUCUACCCCUUUAGAUACUGCCUCCGCGCGCACAUUUCUUCUCUGCAGAUUUACUAAGAGGAAUCUUUCGCCACCAUAAAGUUUUGCCUAGCAGAUUCUGUGCAACUACUUCUAUUGCCCCUGCCAACUACUUCCAAUGACUGUGUCCAACUGAAAACAACUAUGUAUGCAACUAGAACUACUAUAGAUGCCAACAAAAAAUGAUCACCAUAUGUGCAGCUUUCCAAUGACCGUAUCCAACUGAAAACAACUAUGUGUGCAACUAGAACGACUAUAGAUGCCACCCAAAAUUGAUCGCCGUGUGUGUAAUUUUCCAAUGAUCGUGUCCAACUGAAAACAACUAUGUGUGCAACUAGAACUACUAUAGAUGCCAACAAAAAAUGAUUGCCAUGUGUGCAAUUUUUCAAUAAUAGGAUCCAACUGAGAACAACUGUAUGUGCAACUACAACUACUAUAGUAAUGAUCGUCUCUGACGAAAACAACUAUGUGUGCAACAAGAAUUACUAUAAAUGCCAAAAAUGAUCGCCAUGUGUAUUCAGUUCAAUGUAUUCCGUUCCACUUUCACCGCCGUAGGAAAAAGGUUUAGUGUUGUGCAACUUUCUAAUUGUCGUAUCCAACCAAGAACUGCUAUGUGUACAACUACAACCACUACGGAUGCCAACUAAGAAUGUGAAGAUCAAUAUAUCUGAAAAAGUGAUACAUACAAUCAGUAGAAACAGAGGGCAAAAAUACAAAGGAACGAAACAGAUAAAAUUGUUGCUUACGAAUCAAGUGCUGCUUCUUCUGCUUCUACACGGAGAUAUAUUGGCUGUGAGUAUCGAGCAACUGCUUUGCUUUGCAUGCUAUAACCCCCGAAGGGCAUCCUCGUCGUUCAAUAGCCGUUGGCCGUCGUUGUUGCAACAGCAGUCACAUCGCGGGCGCGCGAUAGUUGGUGUUGAGUUCAGUGAGGAUGCAGGCCGAGAGCCACGCAGGUCGCCGCCGGCGAGCACCUUAACCCCACACGGCUAGCCCUUCGUAAUAGCGUGCAUUCAUUUGGAUAUUACACACAUCGUCCUUCAUUCUGCAGUACAAGUAGACAAGAGGGAUGCAUACCUGCUUAUUACAAUUCUCAGCCCGUUUGGACAACGGCGGAAAAUCUUGACAUCCUUGCUUAUCUUCCUCUUGAGCCACUGGCAGAGCUGCGCUGGGUCCGCCUUCCCCGCCACGGCCACGACUCCAGUGCCGACGUUUCCAUCC